RNAcentral lists this transfer RNA (73 nucleotides) under Myxococcales bacterium. Its description in RNAcentral is "tRNA-Trp". It matches the Rfam family "tRNA". From Rfam's summary of the family: Transfer RNA (tRNA) molecules are approximately 80 nucleotides in length. Their secondary structure includes four short double-helical elements and three loops (D, anti-codon, and T loops). The record is from RNAcentral. Lineage: Bacteria; Pseudomonadati; Myxococcota; Myxococcia; Myxococcales.
AGGCGAGUGGCUCAGUUGGUAGAGCGGCGGUCUCCAAAACCGCGGGUCGGGGGUUCGAGUCCCUCCUCGCCUG